Molecule: ribosomal RNA, 253 nt
Filed under: uncultured bacterium
Lineage: Bacteria
Description: partial 16S ribosomal RNA
Rfam family: Bacterial small subunit ribosomal RNA
Source: RNAcentral
UACGGAGGGUGCAAGCGAUGUUCGGAAUCACUGGGCGUAACGCGCGUGUAGGCGGCCUCUUAAGUCUGGUGUGAAAGCCCGGGGCUCACCCCCGGAAGGGCCCUGGAUACUGGGAGGCUAGAGUACCGGAGAGGAGGGUGGAAUUCCUGGUGUAGCGGUGAAAUGCGUAGAUAUCAGGAGGAACACCGGUGGCGAAGGCGGCCCUCUGGACGGCUACUGACGCUGAGACGCGAAAGCGUGGGGAGCAAACAGG